AUUGAACGCUGGCGGCAUGCUUUACACAUGCAAGUCGAACGGCAGCACAGGGAGCUUGCUCCCGGGUGGCGAGUGGCGCACGGGGUGAGUAAUACAUCGGAACGUGUCCUGUUGUGGGGGAUAACUGCUCGAAAGGGUGGCUAAUACCGCAUGAGACCUGAGGGUGAAAGCGGGGGAUCGCAAGACCUCGCGCAAUUGGAGCGGCCGAUGCCCGAUUAGCUAGUUGGUGAGGUAAAGGCUCACCAAGGCGACGAUCGGUAGCUGGUCUGAGAGGACGACCAGCCACACUGGGACUGAGACACGGCCCAGACUCCUACGGGAGGCAGCAGUGGGGAAUUUUGGGACAAUGGGGGCAACCCUGAUCCAGCCAUGCCGCGUCGCAGGGAUGAAGGCC
RNAcentral lists this ribosomal RNA (394 nucleotides) under uncultured bacterium. RNAcentral describes it as "bacterial SSU rRNA". It matches the Rfam family "Bacterial small subunit ribosomal RNA", at positions 28 to 416 of the family's 1533-position model. The record is from RNAcentral.